This 253-nucleotide ribosomal RNA is filed under the name uncultured bacterium. RNAcentral's name for it is "partial 16S ribosomal RNA". It matches the Rfam family "Bacterial small subunit ribosomal RNA", at positions 524 to 776 of the family's 1533-position model. The record is from RNAcentral.
UACGUAGGUGGCAAGCGUUGUCCGGAAUUAUUGGGCGUAAAGCGCGCGCAGGCGGUCCUUUAAGUCUGAUGUGAAAGCCCACGGCUCAACCGUGGAGGGUCAUUGGAAACUGGGAGACUUGAGUGCAGAAGAGGAGAGUGGAAUUCCAAGUGUAGCGGUGAAAUGCGUAGAGAUUUGGAGGAACACCAGUGGCGAAGGCGGCUUUCUGGGCUGUAACUGACACUGAGGCGCGAAAGCGUGGGGAGCAAACAGG